GAUGAACGCUGGCGGCGUGCCUAAUACAUGCAAGUCGAGCGAACAGACGAGGAUCUUGCUCCUCUGACGUUAGCGGCGGACGGGUGAGUAACACGUGGAUAACCUACCUAUAAGACUGGGAUAACUUCGGGAAACCGGAUCUAAUACCGGAUAAUAUAUUGAACCGCAUGGUUCAAUAGUGAAAGACGGUUUUGCUGUCACUUAUAGAUGGAUCCGCGCCGCAUUAGCUAGUUGGUAGGGUAACGGCUUACCAAGGCGACGAUGCGUAGCCGACCUGAGAGGGCGAUCGGCCACACUGGAACUGAGACACGGUCCAGACUCCUACGGGAGGCAGCAGUAGGGAAUCUUCCGCAAUGGGCGAAAGCCUGACGGAGCAACGCCGCGUGAGUGAUGAAGGUCUUCGGAUCGUAAAACUCUGUUAUUAGGGAAGAACAAAUGUGUAAGUAACUAUGCACGUCUUGACGGUACCUAAUCAGAAAGCAACGGCUAACUACGUG
RNAcentral lists this ribosomal RNA (497 nucleotides) under uncultured bacterium. RNAcentral describes it as "partial 16S ribosomal RNA". It matches the Rfam family "Bacterial small subunit ribosomal RNA", at positions 28 to 507 of the family's 1533-position model. The record is from RNAcentral.